CGGCUCCAUCGAGGCCUCCCUCGGCCUCCCCGUGCCCGACCGCUCGCUCCGCGCCAAGCUCGCCGCCUCUGAGGACCUGCGCCGCCGCCUCCAGGACCGCGUCUUCGUGCUCGAGGAGGACCUCCACGCCGCCGCCCGCCGCAUCGACCUCCUCAGGAACGAGUCGGCGAUGAACGAGGAGGGGAUCUACGAGCGGCCGUGGCGGCCGCGCGCGACCAGCUCGCCGCCCACGCCGCCAGGCUCGAGAAGGAGUGCGGCCUCUACGAGCGUGACCUGGAGCGCGCCAUGGAGUCCUGCGACGAGCUCGCCAGGGAGAGCGACGACCUGCGCAAGCGCCUGCGGGACGCCCCCGACGUUACCACACUGAACAAUGAAGUGGAAGCCCUGCAGAGGGACAAGGAGAUACUGAGGACCAAUCUAAACAAAGCAGAGGAGGAAACCCUACCGCCGCAGAAGCAGCCAUGUGUAUCGACCUCGUUGCCGGUGGGAGGAACAAGAGGACCAAGCGCGUCGCGCCCAAGUCCGACGAUGUCUACCUCAAGCUCCUCGUCAAGCUCUACCGUUUCCUGGCGAGGACCAAAUCAAGUUCAACGUCGUCAUCCUCAAGAGGCUCUUCAUGAGCAAGACUAACCGCCCGCCGCUCUCCAUGCGCCGCCUCUCCAACUUCAUGAAGGGAAAGAAGGGAUCUGGAUAGGUUGCAACUGGGAGUAAAAUAUGCGUCCAAACUGAUCGUCUGGUGCGAAAAUCGACGACCAAGAUCCACUUCAGCUUGGUAGUGACCUGUGAGAGAUCUGUGGUGGUAAGCGGCACGUGUCUGAUCCCUGGGCAUCGGUUCAUUUUUGAUGUUUGAUCCUGGCUGUCGGUUGCCUGUCGGGAUGGCGGAUUCUUUUCGGUUGUUAUGGUAGGGAACCCCUUCGUCCCUAACUUCAGUAUGCAAACUGAUUAUCUAUCUUUUGCAAGCUGAUUAUCUAUCUAGAAAAUGUUGCAGUUGUGGUACUACAUGAUCUUACUAAUGCUGUCUUUUUUUUACUCUUGUAAACCGAGCCCUUGCGUUGCGUCUGCAAGAAGUAGUGCUACUGCUUGUUCAUAAUGGCUGAUUGCUUACUGAAUCUUGUUUUGCAAACUGAGAAGAUUUAGAAUGAUGCAUUUCCGCUGCUAGUGAUUUCUUCAGUCUGACCUGAUUAAGGCUCAAGAAGUUGGAAAAAGGGAACGCUUCAUCUUUGUAGCUAAUUAUAUGUUCCAAAGGGACAACAAAUAAGUUUGUUCCCAUGCAUUAACAAAAUUCCUUUUAUUAUAUUGCAAAAUAAACGGGCGCAGCAACGCCCGCCAUCAUGAUCUAGUUCACACUUUUGCAUGUACAGACCAUUUAGUGACGCUACAGCAUCACUUGUUAGGGAUAGCAAAAUUCUCAUUCCCUGUAGGGUCAUAUCUAGGUGUCUCAAACAUCAUAGUGGUAUUUCGCUUGGAUGUUUCUGAAAAUCGUCUUGAAGUUAGAAGAAUUAACGGUGGAAGAACAUGAAAAUGUAAUACAUCUAUUCAACAUAUUCAACUGGGCUCCUCGCAGGAUUGGUCA
RNA transcript from Triticum dicoccoides, 1573 nucleotides. RefSeq lists it as uncharacterized. Lineage: Eukaryota; Viridiplantae; Streptophyta; Magnoliopsida; Poales; Poaceae. The record is from RefSeq and is a predicted model, not a curated record. The transcript has 7 exons.